CCCUCCUCCUCACACAGCAACGACGUCCGACCUCCUCCUGACGGCGAACUACCACCACACUAUCUCUCUGUCAUUCUCUCUAUGUCCAUAGUUCUUAAUCCACCAAACCACAGAUCGGGUAGAUCAAAGGAUUAUCUGGGAAGCCCUUUUCUGCAAACCUUGAUCAAUUUCUCAAUCUUCGGUCACACCUCCGAUCAUAAGAGGUAAAUUCUAUGUCUUCUUAACCUCCUCCUUCAUCUAUUUCCAUUGAACUUUUGGUGUUGAUCGUGUUUUAACGAAAUCCCAAUUUCUGCAAAUUCCUCCUCCCUGACGUCAUGUUAUUCCGGCGAAGCCAGAGGUUCUAGUGUACGACUCUGAUGUCUAUAACGACUUGAAGACUUCGGUGAGGCAUAGCUGCUUCUGUUUAUACGGGUUGAAGGGCUGAGAGUAUCUUAGGAGCAGAAUUCCAAGAUUGGUGAUUUAAGGUAAAGUCGGGGUCUGGGAGUUUGAUUCCAAUUCAGUAAUUGGUUGUGUGAGUCAUAGGGUGUUUGUGCUGGUGGGUUGCUGGAAAGUCAAGAAAGGACUGGAAGGAGUUUGGCGUGAUAAAGUUCAUCUUUUGCUAUUACCAAGGUAAAUUGGAGGCAUAUUACUACGGUUUUGUCCAGUUGGUUAAUUUGGAAUCAUGGAAUUUUCUGUGUAUGUUUCCAAUGGUUUUAUACUUGAGUGAACUCUGUAUGUGAAAACAGAAGAAGAGAUUGUAGGAAUUAUAUAUGAUUCAUGUUCAGUUUGGUCAUAAUUGUGGAA
Molecule: long non-coding RNA, 783 nt
Organism: Argentina anserina (silverweed cinquefoil)
Lineage: Eukaryota; Viridiplantae; Streptophyta; Magnoliopsida; Rosales; Rosaceae
Exons: 2
Source: RefSeq, a predicted model, not a curated record